RNAcentral lists this ribosomal RNA (253 nucleotides) under uncultured bacterium. Its description in RNAcentral is "partial 16S ribosomal RNA". It matches the Rfam family "Bacterial small subunit ribosomal RNA", at positions 524 to 776 of the family's 1533-position model. The record is from RNAcentral.
UACGUAGGUGGCGAGCGUUGUCCGGAUUUACUGGGAGUAAAGAGCGCGCAGGCGGUCGUUCAAGUCGCGUGUGAAAGCCCCCGGCUCAACUGGGGAGAGUCACGCGAUACUGAUCGACUCGAAGGCGGGAGAGGGAAGCGGAAUUCCCGGUGUAGUGGUGAAAUGCGUAGAUAUCGGGAGGAACACCAGUGGCGAAGGCGGCUUCCUGGCCCGUUCUUGACGCUGAGGCGCGAAAGCUAGGGGAGCAAACGGG